UGGGGAAUAUUGGACAAUGGGCGAAAGCCUGAUCCAGCCAUGCCGCGUGUGUGAAGAAGGUCUUCGGAUUGUAAAGCACUUUAAGUUGGGAGGAAGGGCAGUAAGCGAAUACCUUGCUGUUUUGACGUUACCGACAGAAUAAGCACCGGCUAACUCUGUGCCAGCAGCCGCGGUAAUACAGAGGGUGCAAGCGUUAAUCGGAAUUACUGGGCGUAAAGCGCGCGUAGGUGGUUCGUUAAGUUGAAUGUGAAAGCCCCGGGCUCAACCUGGGAACUGCAUCCAAAACUGGCGAGCUAGAGUAGGGCAGAGGGUGGUGGGAUUUCCUGUGUAGCGGUGAAAUGCGUAAAUAUAGGAAGGAACACCAGUGGCGAAGGCGACCACCUGGGCUCAUACUGACACUGAGGUGCGAAAGCGUGGGGAGCAAACAGG
Molecule: ribosomal RNA, 429 nt
Filed under: Pseudomonadota bacterium
Lineage: Bacteria; Pseudomonadati; Pseudomonadota
Description: Proteobacteria bacterium partial 16S ribosomal RNA
Rfam family: Bacterial small subunit ribosomal RNA
Source: RNAcentral